RNAcentral lists this ribosomal RNA (497 nucleotides) under uncultured bacterium. Its description in RNAcentral is "partial 16S ribosomal RNA". It matches the Rfam family "Bacterial small subunit ribosomal RNA", at positions 28 to 507 of the family's 1533-position model. The record is from RNAcentral.
GAUGAACGCUGGCGGCGUGCCUAAUACAUGCAAGUCGAGCGAACGGACGAGAAGCUUGCUUUUCUGAUGUUAGCGGCGGACGGGUGAGUCACACGUGGAUAACCUACCUAUAAGACUGGGAUAACUUCGGGAAACCGGAGCUAAUACCGGAUAAUAUUUUGCACCGCAUGGUUCAAAAGUGAAAGACGGUCUUGCUGUCACUUAUAGCUGCAUCCGCGCUGCAUUAGCUAGUUGGUAAGGUAACGGCUUACCAAGGCAACGAUGCAUAGCCGACCUGAGAGGGUGAUCGGCCACACUGGAACUGAGACACGGUCCAGACUCCUACGGGAGGCAGCAGUAGGGAAUCUUACGCAAUGGGCGAAAGCCUGACGGAGCAACGCCGCGUGAGUGAUGAAGGUCUUCGGAUCGUAAAACUCUGUUAUUAGGGAAGAACAUAUGUGUAAGUAGCUGUGCACAUCUUGACGGUACCUAAUCAGAAAGCAACGGCUAACUACGUG